This 287-nucleotide ribosomal RNA is filed under the name uncultured Rhizobiaceae bacterium. Its description in RNAcentral is "partial 16S ribosomal RNA". It matches the Rfam family "Bacterial small subunit ribosomal RNA", at positions 1097 to 1382 of the family's 1533-position model. Lineage: Bacteria; Pseudomonadati; Pseudomonadota; Alphaproteobacteria; Hyphomicrobiales; Rhizobiaceae. The record is from RNAcentral.
CGCAACCCUCGCCCUUACGUUGCCAGCAUUUAGUUGGGCGACUCUAAGGGGACGUGCCGGUGAUAAGCCGAGAGGAAGGUGGGGAUGACGUCAAGCCCUCAUGGCCCUUACGGGCUGGGCUACACACGUGCUACAAUGGUGGUGACAGUGGGCAGCGAGCACGCGAGUGUGAGCUAAUCUCCAAAAGCCAUCUCAGUUCGGAUUGCACUCUGCAACUCGAGUGCAUGAAGUUGGAAUCGCUAGUAAUCGCGGAUCAGCAUGCCGCGGUGAAUACGUUCCCGGGCCUU